This 127-nucleotide microRNA precursor is filed under the name Myotis brandtii (Brandt's bat). RNAcentral's name for it is "mir-9193 microRNA precursor family". It matches the Rfam family "mir-9193 microRNA precursor family". Lineage: Eukaryota; Metazoa; Chordata; Mammalia; Chiroptera; Vespertilionidae. The record is from Rfam by way of RNAcentral.
UGUGCACUGGUGGGGUCCCUCAGCCUGGCCUGCCCCCUCUCACAACCCGGGACCCCUUGGGGGAUGUCGGACUGCUGGUUUCGGCCCAAUCCCCACAGGCCAGGCUGAGGGACCCCACCGGUGCAUG